Hypanus sabinus (Atlantic stingray) is the source of this 700-nucleotide long non-coding RNA. RefSeq lists it as uncharacterized. The record is from RefSeq and is a predicted model, not a curated record. The transcript has 3 exons. Lineage: Eukaryota; Metazoa; Chordata; Chondrichthyes; Myliobatiformes; Dasyatidae.
UCCAGCUCGGCCGGAAACAUCAACUGUGUAUUCCACUCCAUGAAUCCUGCCUGGCUUGCUAAAGUUCACCUCAUUUAAGCCGGGUUCUUUUGAGACCCUGACCCGGAGUCACACGCUGACUAUGGUUCUUUGCGGGAAUGGGACCCGCUCUCGGGGUUCCACAUUCAGCCGCAAUUCGGCAUGCCAAAGUCUCAGCCCAAGAUUUCGGGUUUCUGAAGCCUGGGAUUGCGAGUAACUGGUGACGGGCAAAUCAAGGGUCUGUGUGGCCACAGGAGAUCCGUGUGUCGGUGGGGGAGUCAGAUCAUCUACUGUGUGCCUGGGGUCCCAGGAUCCAGGCUCGGAGCGGACUUCCAACGACGUGAAGCACUACCGUACAAGUGUCCACCACCCCACCGGCUUUCUGUAGCCCCUGGAGAACUAUGAGUUGCCUCUAUCCCUUCGCUGUGUGUUGUGAAGCGCCGUUCUACCUGUCAGCCGGUGUUUACUCACCACAGCGUGAUAACGAGACGCUCACCGGCCAAUUACCAUGAGAGAGACGCUGAAACCCUCCACGGCAGCCUUUCUCAACUUCUUUUGCCCUGGAAAUAACUUUCAGAUCUCAGGGAACCCCUGCGUAAAAAUAUUAUAUCUACAGCUCACAAUACAAUAUGGUAAUAAUAAUCCAAAAUUAAUUGUCAGUGUUCUUUUGAGUGGAGAAUGA